RNAcentral lists this ribosomal RNA (383 nucleotides) under uncultured eukaryote. RNAcentral describes it as "partial 18S ribosomal RNA". It matches the Rfam family "Eukaryotic small subunit ribosomal RNA", at positions 592 to 976 of the family's 1831-position model. The record is from RNAcentral.
CAAUAGCGUAUAUUAAAGUUGUUGCAGUUAAAAAGCUCGUAGUUGGAUUUCUGGUGGGAGCGAUCGGUCUGGCGCUUAGCGCGAGUACUUGCAUCGUCUCCGGCCAUCCUUGGGGAGAGUCUGUCUGGCAUUAAGUUGUCGGGCAGAGGAUCCUCAUCGUUUACUGUGAAAAAAUUAGAGUGUUCAAAGCAGGCUUAUGCCGUUGAAUAUAUUAGCAUGGAAUAAUAAGAUAGAACUUUGGUACUAUUUUGUUGGUUUGCGCACCAAAGUAAUGAUUAAUAGGGACAGUUGGGGGUAUUCGUAUUCCGUUGUCAGAGGUGAAAUUCUUGGAUUUACGGAAGACGAACUACUGCGAAAGCAUUUACCAAGGAUGUUUUCAUUAA